ACCAGGAGGCUGAGGCCC
RNAcentral lists this microRNA (18 nucleotides) under Pan paniscus (pygmy chimpanzee). Its description in RNAcentral is "ppa-miR-665". Its record names the gene ppa-miR-665. The record is from miRBase by way of RNAcentral. Lineage: Eukaryota; Metazoa; Chordata; Mammalia; Primates; Hominidae.